GAACGAACCUGAAAUAGGAUCCCGCAGUAAUAAACACAUAUUUAGGCAAUUGUAUCCGAGACAGAAGCCAAAAGCCAGCCUUACAAUGCUAAAGUAGCCACCAUAAGCCAGAGUCGAAGCCCGAUACACGGAAGCCAGGUCGCCGGAGAAGAUAACCGGCCGUUUUAAAGAAAUAAGAGUUCUUCUCACUAAAAGAACGCAAAGGACAAAAGGCAGUGAAGAUGAUAGGAAGACCUAUGACCUCUGAUGCCUCGCUUGGAAGGUUGUCUGACCAGAUCCGAGAAAACUUAAGCAUCCACAUCUGAACCGGCUGAGUACAACCACCGCGUACCAGAAACUAGAUAGGAACCGACAUAAACAAACCAAUCCAAACGCGACUCACCAGAAAAUCACAAUCUUCAUGCCUCCUAAAUCAGAACAAAAGACAGUAACCCACCCUCUCACGGCGCCAGCAAAGAUCGUCGGACACCGGAGAGGGAAGAUCUCGAUCUACUUUUUUCUCUGCUUUUCUCUCUCUUACUUUUCUCGAUGACAAUACUUCUUAUAUAUCAACCAAAUCUUAUGUUUCCUUAAUCUUUACUUCAACCAAAAUGUCAUUAGUCUUUCUAAACAAAACUAAAUAAAACUUACGUUUUUCUUUUAAUAUUAAUCAUCUCAGUAAAUGGGACACCGGACAGAGUUCAAGUUAUAAUACACGAUUCUAAACUUAGAGAUUCUCAUACCGCUCAUACCGAGACCACCUUCCUUUGGUAGGCAGACCGUUGUCCACACUGCUUUAACCACUCUGGAUGUGUCAAUAUUACAUGACCAAAAGAAGGGAGGGCACAUUCAUUCAAUUCGAACAAUGCAUCUUUUGGGCAGCACAAAAAUUGAGAUCCAAAAGCAUACAAAACCAGCAAUGACCAAGAAGAGCAACCGUAAACGACCAGAGAAAGAUAGUGUCAUGGGUGUCCACAUAUUAAAUUUGGAUGUGAUGUUGUUUAAUAAAGCUGCAUUUUCUGAUAUCUUCAAUUUUCUGUUCAUGAGAGACAAUCCUAGAUAAUACCAUAUUGGGAGAGUACAAGUAGAGCAUCCGAAGCAAUCAAUGGCUAAGGAUUCACUUUGGUUCAAUCCAACAGUAAAAAUCUCAGUAUUUUCUCGGUUCAUUUCCAACCCAGACCAAGUCGAGAAAUCAUCCAGACAUUCAGAUAUUCCAUGAAGUUAAUCAUCUAGACAUUCAGCACAACAAUGCGCUUCAUAAUCAGAUCUAUAUUCACACAGAUAAGGUCUUGCGGUUUAUUGACCCUAACGUUCGUUGCACCAUUACUGCCAGGGCCGGCUUAUCAGUUAAUGGCCUUGUGCUCAAAAACGUUUCUCUCAAAAUUGUUGUUAUACUUUUAUAAAUCUAAAAUUAGGACCCUAACUAUGUAUGUUUUUUUUGCAAAACAAGACCCUAGUUCCUUACAGAAAAUUACUGAAAAAGGACCUAGUGCAAAAGCACUCCCAUCACAUGUGUAAAGCCGGUACUGAUUGCUGCAGAUAAAAACACUUUAGCUCCUUAAUGGCCCUUCGGUUGAGAUAUCUCUCUCUCUUUCUCUUCCUUUCUUUAUUUCCACUUUGUUUUUAAUUUUUUUUUUUUUGCUAAAGUGGAUUUGCCUUAGAUUACGAGUUGUAAAAUCUAACAUUUCAUAUAUGUGAAUAUUAACCUUUUAGCAAAAGAAAAAAAGGGAACCCAAACAGUUACAAGGGUGGAAAGUAGCGACUCUAUUACAACAUAAAACCCACUAAGACAAUAAAAACAGUAUAAGCAAAGGAGAGGAUGAAUUCCGCGUGGGUAAAAAGAUGGAGGGAGGGUGGAGCUCCCCACUCCGAUGAAACAGAGGAGACUGUAAGGCAAGUUCACCGGGCUUCGCGUUUCUAAGUGUCUGAACCAGCACACAUAUGGGCACACAGAAAACCUAGCGGUCUCCCAUGGAAGUGUGCCACAGCCACUAAACGCUGCACUCUAAAAAAGAGUCGACUCUUAAACCUACCUUUGCCGCUACCAUUUACCUUAGCCGCUGCAGCAUCACGAAGACGCACCCAUCUACAAGAUCAAUCCAGUCAAAAAGCGUUUGCUUAUGGUAAACAGAUCCGAGAAGAACCGCCACCCCCAUAGGUUAACCUAACCCGCUGUCGUUGGAUUCCUUCACAACAAUCAGAGAAGAAACCCUAUAUCUCGAUGAAUGACUUGUAGCUUUUCAGGCAGAGCUCUGUCUUUCUUUUGACUCCGACGACCCAACAAAACCCCGAAUCUGACAUGGAGGACUACCGCACAUUGACCUACCCGAGUUCAGUGAAAGAUGUUGAUAAGCCUCUAUUGACAACCAAACCUUGUUUCUUCCAUUAGUAAGUACAUAUCCGAACGAAAACGGGGGAGGAGACCUCUAAGAAAAUCUCCAUUUGGUACUCUAUAUUUUACUCUAAAGCAGGGUGUAGAGUAAAUAUGCUCCAACUGUAUUCUAUUUUCAGUUUAUAAUACAGUAAAAAUGAGUUUACUCUAUAAAUAGAAUAAUUUUUUUUUUUUCAUCACUCUAUUUUUUUCUCUAAACUAGAGUAUCAUUGGAGUAUAACUUAACUCUAUUAUAGAUUUAAUCUAUUUUAAAAUAAAAAUAGUAAACCAUUGGAGUGGUUUUAACACGGUGCAUCAUAGGACGUCGGAAGCCGGUGAGCCUCCUGUCGACGCGGAAAGUUAAAAACGAGAGAAAGAGAAGAGAGGAACGCGUAGGAUUAAGACGUCACUCAUAUGCUUUUUGUUGUAAAAUAUUUCCUAAAUACAUAAACUUAUUUUUCCCUACCUUUGUACUUCGAAUUGGGAUAAUGAAUGUUCUUUACACAACACCAAGACAAAUUUGGUUUAUUUCUUUUUUUUGUUUAUUUUAAAUUUGGUUUAUUACGAGCAAUUCAUACAUGACAAUCUGAUUAAUAAAGGGUUAAUUUGUGUAGUUAGUAAUAUAGCAUUGAUGUUGAUAUUAUUAGAUCUCCUAGCAUUUUUUUCUUUUUCUUCCGGUUUUAUCCUUUUUCUAAGCUGGUCGACGGUAAAAGUAUCUGUCACUUAAAUGAAAAACAAAAUAAAAAAUUGUUGUUGGAGUGAUUGUGUUUAUGGCUUCGAUGAUGAUGGUGAUUUAUUGUGGUAUUACAUAAAUAGAGUAGAACAUCCUAAACGCUAUAAUUUAUAUUAAUUAAAAUAUAAAAUGGUUUAAAUAUAUAAUACUAUGUAUGUCCAAAAUUAACAAAUAGCAUAAAACAUAACUUUUAUGGCAGACAAUUUAGUAAUAUAGUACAUAAUCACUAAACCCUAAAAACAAAUAUAAACCCUAAAUCCAAAUAUCAAAAUAUGCAAAUAGAAUAGUAACAAACAAAUAGCAUAGUACAUAUUGUUCAAAUUUUGAAAUAUAUAUAAUUGCAGGGAAUGAGGUAAACCCUAAAAGAAAAUAUAAACUCUAACCCAAAUAUCAAAAUAUACACAUAGUACAUAAUAUGAAUCAUUAUCAAAAUAGAAUAGUAACAAACUAAAUAGCAUAUUACGUAUUGUUCCAAUUUUGAAAUGUUGGAGGUAAUGCUUACCCCAACGUCAACCCAAACAUUCCAUAAACUAAACCCAAAACACUAAUCACUAAACCCUAAAAGGAAAUAUAAACCGUAACCCAAAUAUUAAAUAUGGACAUAGUACAUGAUAUGAAGUACAACUGGGAAUUUACAGUAUAAACGAAGCCAGGUCGCCGGAGAAGAUAACCGGCCGUUUUAAAGAAAUAAGAGUUCUUCUCACUAAAAGAACGCAAAGGACAAAAGGCAGUGAAGAUGAUAGGAAGACCUAUGACCUCUGAUGCCUCGCUUGGAAGGUUGUCUGACCAGAUCCGAGAAAACUUAAGCAUCCACAUCUGAACCGGCUGAGUACAACCACCGCGUACCAGAAACUAGAUAGGAACCGACAUAAACAAACCAAUCCAAACGCGACUCACCAGAAAAUCACAAUCUUCAUGCCUCCUAAAUCAGAACAAAAGACAGUAACCCACCCUCUCACGGCGCCAGCAAAGAUCGUCGGACACCGGAGAGGGAAGAUCUCGAUCUACUUUUUUCUCUGCUUUUCUCUCUCUUACUUUUCUCGAUGACAAUACUUCUUAUAUAUCAACCAAAUCUUAUGUUUCCUUAAUCUUUACUUCAACCAAAAUGUCAUUAGUCUUUCUAAACAAAACUAAAUAAAACUUACGUUUUUCUUUUAAUAUUAAUCAUCUCAGUAAAUGGGACACCGGACAGAGUUCAAGUUAUAAUACACGAUUCUAAACUUAGAGAUUCUCAUACCGCUCAUACCGAGACCACCUUCCUUUGGUAGGCAGACC
This 4358-nucleotide long non-coding RNA is filed under the name Brassica napus (rape). RNAcentral's name for it is "long non-coding RNA (BNAP_LNC018075)". Lineage: Eukaryota; Viridiplantae; Streptophyta; Magnoliopsida; Brassicales; Brassicaceae. The record is from RNAcentral.